Molecule: non-coding RNA, 109 nt
Organism: Mycena haematopus
Lineage: Eukaryota; Fungi; Basidiomycota; Agaricomycetes; Agaricales; Mycenaceae
Source: the annotation of a GenBank genome assembly
GACCUCUUGGCUCAGUGGUAGAGCAUCUGAUUCCAGCGACCUGGAUGCCCCCACUGCGCCGUAUUGUCAGGUUUCCAGAAGGUCGUCCGUUCGAUCCGGGCAGAGGUCA